UCGAGUUAGGGUCCCUCGCGGCCCGACCUCCCAACCCCUUGUUUAUUCUACCUCUGUUGCUUCGGCGGACCCGCCUUAACUGGCCGCCGGGGGACCGUCGAAAGACGUCCCUUGGCCAGCGUCCGUCGGUGGCCCUCCAAAACUUCUGUCAAACAGUUGCCUUGAUUCUAAGUGAAAUUGAAAUAAACAAAAGCA
This 195-nucleotide unclassified non-coding RNA is filed under the name uncultured Cladophialophora. RNAcentral describes it as "sequence contains ITS1". The record is from RNAcentral. Lineage: Eukaryota; Fungi; Ascomycota; Eurotiomycetes; Chaetothyriales; Herpotrichiellaceae.